This 502-nucleotide ribosomal RNA is filed under the name uncultured bacterium. RNAcentral's name for it is "partial 16S ribosomal RNA". It matches the Rfam family "Bacterial small subunit ribosomal RNA", at positions 28 to 507 of the family's 1533-position model. The record is from RNAcentral.
GACGAACGCUGGCGGCGUGCUUAACACAUGCAAGUCGAACGGUGAAGGGGUCUGCUUUUGUGGGCCCUGGAUGAGUGGCGAACGGGUGAGUAACACGUGAGUAACCUGCCCCCUUCUUCUGGAUAACCGCAUGAAAGUGUGGCUAAUACGGGAUAUUCUGGGUCUGUCGCAUGAUGGGUCUGGGAAAGAUUGCGCCUUUGGGUGUUUUUGGUGGGGGAUGGGCUCGCGGCCUAUCAGCUUGUUGGUGGGGUGAUGGCCUACCAAGGCGGUGACGGGUAGCCGGCCUGAGAGGGUGGACGGUCACACUGGGACUGGGACACGGCCCAGACUGCUACGGGAGGCAGCAGUGGGGAAUAGUGCACAAUGGGCGCAAGCCUGAUGCAGCGACGCCGCGUGAGGGAGGGAGGCCUUCGGGUUGUAAACCUCUUUCGCCAGUGAAGCAGGCCUGCUCCUUGUGGGUGGGUUGACGGUAGCUGGAGAAGAAGCGCCGGCUAACUACGUG